AACUUUGUAAUGAUUAGUAGUUAAUAUAAACUAAACUUUUGGUAUGGUAAUUUUAGUGAACAAAUAUAAACUAAAAUCAAUUAAUUUUAUAACCCAGCAAGAAACAUUAAACUAUACUAGAAAUAGUAAUUUAAUUUAGUUUUUAAUCUAGACCAAUUAGGUGCCAGCAGUCGCGGUCACACCUGAUAGAUAAAUUAACAAACUCAGACUAGCUAAAAAGAAAAAACUUUUAUAUAUAGGUGAAAUUUUGAUAAAAUUAAGUCUCUCCUUCUUAAUAUAUUUUGCUCAAUCUCUGACAAUAAACUAGGAUUAGAUACCCUACUAUAUAGAGUGUAAAAUUUAGGUCUAAGCACUAUGACUAAUAAGUUAAAACUUAAACUACAUGGCGGCAGUAAGAAAUUUCAGGGGAACUUGCCAAGUUAAUGAUAGUCCUCAAGACAACACUACUCCUAUUUAUAAAAGUUUGUAUAUCGCCGUUUUCAGCCUUCAUUUUAGAUGAAUCCCAAAUGUAAAAUUACAAAAAGACAGGUUCUGAUGCAGCCAAUAUAGGAGACUACAGGUGAGUUACAAUAAAAACUAAAUAUAUAGACUUUCUUUGAAAGUGAAGAAAUAAAAAUGGACUUGAAAGUAAAACUUAUUAUAAAUGUUGUUUGAAUAUUUUAGCUAACUGUGCACAAAUCGCCCGUCACUUUCGUUGAAAAAUGAAAUAAGUCGUAACACAGUAGGUGUACUGGAAAGUGUACCUGUCUCUAU
Molecule: non-coding RNA, 753 nt
Filed under: Hypselodoris bullockii
Lineage: Eukaryota; Metazoa; Mollusca; Gastropoda; Nudibranchia; Chromodorididae
Source: RNAcentral